UGCAUGGCCUAGACGGCCAAGUGAGAUUGCGAAGAACUUGCCACUUGCACCAGUAAAGCUCCAUUGCACUAUGCCUGCUGAAGAUGCAAUUAAAAUCAAAGAAGGUGAAUCUGGGAGACAGCCUUGCAGAGACACCUUUGAAAGUUUCUUGUAUGUACCCAUGAGGACCGUCAUGGUAUCCACCCGCAACCUCUUGUUGGCUUUCUAUGCGGUGCCUCAGCCUCCUAUAGAUGACCGAAAGCUUGCAGUAGCAUCAUCAUCAUCUCUGUCUCCUUCCUCACGAGCUUCA
Hordeum vulgare subsp. vulgare (domesticated barley) is the source of this 289-nucleotide long non-coding RNA. RefSeq lists it as uncharacterized. NCBI's taxonomy places the organism in Eukaryota, Viridiplantae, Streptophyta, Magnoliopsida, Poales, Poaceae. The record is from RefSeq and is a predicted model, not a curated record. The transcript has 3 exons.